CUUGUAAAGAAUAUCCUGACUCAGUUUCAGAAACUUUCUCUCUCCCUGUGACAAGGCUGGGGAUGUUUUUAAAAUCCUCCCACCAACCUGCCAAAUCACAGGAUGGAGUUCUCAGUGUUUCCUUUCCAUUGAAUGUUUUGCCACAUGCAAACUUUCAUCUUCUUCUCAGUAUACUUUUGGGUUCUGCUAGGCUUACUUUCAAAGGUUAAAGUAAUGGAGUGUACUGGAGUCAGGAAAGCUCAGUGUUGGUUCACCAGCACUGCAUUUCUGCACCAGUCAUAG
Molecule: long non-coding RNA, 282 nt
Filed under: Parus major (Great Tit)
Lineage: Eukaryota; Metazoa; Chordata; Aves; Passeriformes; Paridae
Description: lncRNA (ENSPMJG00000019299.1)
Source: RNAcentral